This is a long non-coding RNA of Mustela erminea (ermine), 1268 nucleotides long. RefSeq lists it as uncharacterized. The transcript is spliced from 4 exons. The record is from RefSeq and is a predicted model, not a curated record. Lineage: Eukaryota; Metazoa; Chordata; Mammalia; Carnivora; Mustelidae.
UAAAUAAGUAACAUCUUUUGAAAAAGAAUAGUAAGUUUUGCUGUGUGCCACUGCCUGUUCUGAACCCGUGUAAGCUCUGUGCAUCUCUCUUUAGCCCUUUUGACAACCCUAAGAGGAGACUGCUAUUAAUAAGGCCAUUUACAGAUGAGGAAACUAAGGAUAGAGAGGAUUUUUAACUUGCCCAAGGCCCCUUGAACUUCCUCAUGGCAGAGGUUCUCUUUUUGUCAUCUAAUCUACCCCCAAAGAAGUAUUGACGACUCCUGAUGUGAGAUUUCUCCUCUUGCAAGGAGACAGGAAGCUAUUGGAGGUUCUUGUGAAUUAUAUUUUAAGAGGAUCAAGAGGGAGAGACAACAUAAUAAAUUUCAUCCCCGGAGGCAUGGAGCAGGGUCCAAGGCUGAUGCUCCGUCUUCCAGCAAAUCAUAGCCUAACGCUUGCACGCAGUGACUACGUCAUUUUCUUCACUUCAUCUCAUCACGGAGGCAUUUUAUCAUCUCAUGUUGUCACAAGAAGAAGGGUGAGCACCCUACGAUAAUUUUGAGAGAGAGAGAGAAACCACACUCACGUAACUUUUAUUACGGUGUAAUUGGGGGGCGGGGUCUUAGAUCAUAUCGCCAUAGAUAAGGAAAUACUCCUGCAAUAGAAUAGUGAGUGAUUCCUCUUUUUCUAAAUGAAACAAAAAAGGCUAACUUUCAGUUUUCACUGGGGGUAAUGCAGAAGAUCUGGGGUGGGGGGGAAUUCACAUCACAAACCCAGCCCGGUUCCAUGUGAGGGGGUCCUUUUGGAAAUGGAUCCAUCAGUGGUUAGUGGGGACCUUAUGUGAACUGGGUCCCAAUUUGUUCAUUGGAAGCUGGAAGCCAGGCAGCAUCUAGAUUUUGAAGAUCCUUCUGGUGCUUUUAAGGACAUUGAGCGUUUUUAUGGGGAGAUGAGAGGGAGUGGCCACAGAGGUUUAAGUAGUAGAGGCAUUGAUGAAAUUUGGGUUUUAAGAGAUCACUCUGGCGCCAUUCUGAGGCAGAAUAGGGCAGGAACGCUAAACUGAUCAAUACUUCCGGGAUGGUGGCCAGAAAAGGAGUAAAAAUCUCCAGAAAACAGCAUUUAUUUGAAACCAGAGAGCAUCAGUUCAUGUCAAAAGAGGCUCUGUGAGGUCAAGUCAUACCAAGGUGAGUCUGGCAUCCCUCGGGGACAUAAAAAAACAGAAGACCAAAGGAGAUGCCCACUAAUUUUUUUUACUUAUGCUGAACUUCUCUACCUAAAGGGAUUGUUUCCCCUGC